RNAcentral lists this ribosomal RNA (351 nucleotides) under uncultured bacterium. RNAcentral describes it as "bacterial SSU rRNA". It matches the Rfam family "Bacterial small subunit ribosomal RNA", at positions 29 to 359 of the family's 1533-position model. The record is from RNAcentral.
AAUGAACACUGGCGGCGUGGUUAAGACAUGCAAGUCGAACGGUUUUUCAGGUGUAGCAAUACAUUUGAAAAGCAGUGGCGAACGGGUGCGUAACACGUGAACAAUCUACCUUUUAGUGUGGAAUAGCUCGGCGAAAGCCGGAUUAAUACCGCAUGUGGUUGCUUCUCGCAUGAGAGGCAUACUAAAGUCAGGGACCGCAAGGCCUGACGCUAUUAGAGGAGUUCGCGGCCUAUCAGCUAGUUGGCGGGGUAACGGCCCACCAAGGCUACGACGGGUAGCUGGUCUGAGAGGACGACCAGUCACACUGGAACUGAGACACGGUCCAGACACCUACGGGUGGCAGCAGUCGAG